AGCAGCCGCGGUAAUUCCAGCUCCAAUAGCGUAUAUUAAAGUUGCUGCAGUUAAAAAGCUCGUAGUUGAAUUUCGGGACCAAUAUGUCGGUCGUGCCUCGGUACGUACUGGCAUCGUUGGUUUCUCCCUUCUGACGAACCAUGAUGUCAUUUAUUUGGUGUCGUGGGGAAUCAGGACUGUUACUUUGAAAAAAUUAGAGUGUUUAAAGCAGGCUCACGCUUGAAUACAUUAGCAUGGAAUAAUGAAAUAGGACGUUUGAUUCUAUUUUGUUGGUUUCUAGGAUCGACGUAAUGAUUAAUAGGGAUAGUUGGGGGCAUUAGUAUUCAAUUGUCAGAGGUGAAAUUCUUGGAUUUAUUGAAGACUAACUACUGCGAAAGCAUUUGCCAAGGAUGUUUUCAUUAAUCAAGAACGAAAGUUAGGGGAUCGAAGACGAUCAGAUACCGUCGUAGUCUUAACCAUAAACUAUGCCGACUAGGGAUCGGGUGAUGUUAAUUUUUAAUGUACUCAUUCGGCGCCUUAC
Molecule: ribosomal RNA, 520 nt
Filed under: uncultured Glomus
Lineage: Eukaryota; Fungi; Glomeromycota; Glomeromycetes; Glomerales; Glomeraceae
Description: SSU rRNA
Rfam family: Eukaryotic small subunit ribosomal RNA
Source: RNAcentral